UGUACUCUAAUUAACAAAAUUCUCGCUCGUGUCAACUACUGUUUCUAGUAAAAAAAAAAAAAAGCGGGGAGUGAGUCGCUAGUUCAGUGAGUAAUAACACUUAACCACAACCAUUUUUAAUUGGGGACAAGUCAGAAAGCAUGCAUGUUUAAUAACAAUCAGAAACUAUCAUAAAAAUAAAAUGCCCUCUCAAACACGGUAAAUAUAAUCAGUCUAUUCAUGUACUUUCUGUGACAGAAAUCAAUUUAACAGAUCGAUAAUAAAUAUGGUAGACACUGUCUCAUAGAAAUUUUUUAUGUUUGGGAGGUUUCCAAGAAAUGAUCAUGUAAUCUGUAUCACUGUGUGGACCCCUUCGUAAAAGGAGUCAAAUAUAACUUGUAGGUCCCUACUCGAGAAAGAACUGUAACUGUAUGCUAGUUCUACCUUCCCACUAGCGAGGGCUAUAAUUGUAAUCGGUAAUCUGUAAAUACAAGGUACACCAGGUCUAACAAACCCGCCGUUAGCUACGAGAUCCUUCAAAGUCUCCUCCCAUUUAUACUCUUUCUUGUAAACAUUAAAUACUCGUAUGAAAGUAUUUUUAAAAUAAUAAAGGGUAUAUCAUUUCUUAUCAAAUCUUAUAAUUUAUUUCGGUAACAGUAAUCAUGUCACAAGUAAUAGUAAAAUAUUUCUAGUAAUAGUGAAAAAUAAUUUAAAUAACUGUAACAUCUCAAGUAACGGUAAAACAUAUCUAGUAACGAUGAAAAUAUUUAGAUUAACCGGUAAACUUCUCAAGUAAAUUGUUCAGUACCAUAUCAAGUAAAGGACUUGUCCCACAUGCAAAUUUCAAAGCAUCGGUAACACAUUUAUUUUCAAAAUCAUAUAUAAACCAUGCAUGUUAUGAAAAGACAAAUUGUGGUAAGAUUACUACUCACGUUACUCGUGCCGAAAUACCAAAUGAGUCACCUCGAACACUCGUUCAACUUCUUCAACUACAUAUAUUGUUACGAAACCAAGCUAUGCAUCAACUUCGUGAAUUGCCAACAUAACUGGUCCAAUCCAGUCACAUUUAAUUAAUUCUCCUACUUUCAUUCCUCUGAUAUAUUGCCUUUAAUUCUCUGUUAAUUAAUUUAGUAUUACUUAUUUGAUUAGGAGCUGCAUCUUGUUCUUUAUUUGUUCUUAGUAUCUGAUUGAUACUACUAUAGGUAGAGGACACGAAAAAUUUCAUUUGUUCGAUACAAAAAUAAUACUCAUAUCCUCACAUAGUAGUUUACAAGCACUGCUAGCUUGUACAGUAAAGUGCCCAGUAUAAACUGAUAGAUUCUUCAUUCAAUCUAAUAGGAAUUCCAGGAUUGUGCAAUAUAGAAACACCUUAAUUCUCUUUUCUUAUCUCUACCCUUCGUUACAGAAUCAUUAACUAAUAAUAGGCUAGGUAUUAAGUAAUGGAAAUCUCAGAUAAAAAAGGAGAUUAAAUUACCUAUCUUGUUCUCUUCCAUUCCAAAAUCCCUUCGUUAGAAAGAAGUAAAUCCUCCUCUUUUGUUGCCUCCGAUCACCACUGCCGUAACUCAAUUGCUUUAUACCCUAUUCCUCUUUGCUUUAUGUUAGUGCCGUAGUGCACUUUGGCACUAAUCCCUCUCUUAUUUUU
This 1621-nucleotide long non-coding RNA is filed under the name Nicotiana tabacum (common tobacco). Its description in RNAcentral is "long non-coding RNA (NTAB_LNC010614)". The record is from RNAcentral. Lineage: Eukaryota; Viridiplantae; Streptophyta; Magnoliopsida; Solanales; Solanaceae.